RNAcentral lists this ribosomal RNA (669 nucleotides) under Muribaculum sp. An289. RNAcentral's name for it is "bacterial LSU rRNA". It matches the Rfam family "Bacterial large subunit ribosomal RNA", at positions 2243 to 2925 of the family's 2925-position model. The record is from RNAcentral. Lineage: Bacteria; Pseudomonadati; Bacteroidota; Bacteroidia; Bacteroidales; Muribaculaceae.
AAUGGGGGACACCGCUUGGCGGGUAGUUUGACUGGGGUGGUCGCCUCCAAAAGGGUAACGGAGGCUUCCCAAGGCGCGCUCAGCACGAAUGGCAACCGUGCGUUGAGUGCAUUGGCAGAAGCGCGCUUGACUGAGAGACCGACAAGUCGACCAGGUGCGAAAGCAGGGCAAAGUGAUCCGGCGGUUCCGCAUGGAAGGGCCGUCGCUCAAAGGAUAAAAGGUACUCCGGGGAUAACAGGCUGAUCGCCCCCAAGAGCUCAGAUCGACGGGGCGGUUUGGCACCUCGAUGUCGGCUCGUCACGUCCUGGGGCUGGAGCAGGUCCCAAGGGUUCGGCUGUUCGCCGAUUAAAGUGGCACGCGAGCUGGGUUCAGAACGUCGUGAGACAGUUCGGUCCCUAUCUGUUGCGGGCGUGGGAGAUUUGAGGAGCGCCGUCCUUAGUACGAGAGGACCGGGACGGACGGACCUCUGGCGUGCCGGUUGUGGCGCCAGCUGCACCGCCGGGUAGCCAAGUCCGGAAGUGAUAAGCGCUGAAAGCAUCUAAGCGCGAAGCCCCCUCCGAGAUAAGAUCUCCGUUUAAGGGCCGUGGGAGACUACCACGUCGAUAGGCGGGAGGUGCAAAGCCGGCGACGGCAAAGCCGACCCGUACUAAUUGCCCGUAGGUUUCGUUC